Molecule: ribosomal RNA, 274 nt
Filed under: uncultured bacterium
Lineage: Bacteria
Description: partial 16S ribosomal RNA
Rfam family: Bacterial small subunit ribosomal RNA
Source: RNAcentral
AUACGGAGGGUGCAAGCGUUACUCGGAAUCACUGGGCGUAAAGGACGCGUAGGCGGGAUGCCAAGUCUGAUGUGAAAUCCUACAGCUCAACUGUAGAACUGCAUUGGAAACUGGUAACCUAGAGUAUGGGAGGGGGAGAUGGAAUUAGUGGUGCAGGGGUAAAAUCCGUAGAUAUCACUAGGAAUACCUAAAGCGAAGGCGAUCUCCUGGAACAAUACUGACGCUAAGGCGUGAAAGCGUGGGGAGCAAACGGGAUUAGAAACCCUUGUAGUCC